UGGGGAAUUUUGGACAAUGGGCGAAAGCCUGAUCCAGCCAUGCCGCGUGCAGGAUGAAGGCCUUCGGGUUGUAAACUGCUUUUGUACGGAACGAAAAGACUCCUUCUAAUAAAGGGGGUCCAUGACGGUACCGUAAGAAUAAGCACCGGCUAACUACGUGCCAGCAGCCGCGGUAAUACGUAGGGUGCAAGCGUUAAUCGGAAUUACUGGGCGUAAAGCGUGCGCAGGCGGUUAUAUAAGACAGAUGUGAAAUCCCCGGGCUCAACCUGGGAACUGCAUUUGUGACCGUAUAGCUAGAGUACGGUAGAGGGGGAUGGAAUUCCGCGUGUAGCAGUGAAAUGCGUAGAUAUGCGGAGGAACACCGAUGGCGAAGGCAAUCCCCUGGACCUGUACUGACGCUCAUGCACGAAAGCGUGGGGAGCAAACA
RNAcentral lists this ribosomal RNA (427 nucleotides) under uncultured Acidovorax sp. Its description in RNAcentral is "bacterial SSU rRNA". It matches the Rfam family "Bacterial small subunit ribosomal RNA", at positions 355 to 774 of the family's 1533-position model. Lineage: Bacteria; Pseudomonadati; Pseudomonadota; Betaproteobacteria; Burkholderiales; Comamonadaceae. The record is from RNAcentral.